Salmo salar (Atlantic salmon) is the source of this 3598-nucleotide non-coding RNA. The record is from RefSeq and is a predicted model, not a curated record. NCBI's taxonomy places the organism in Eukaryota, Metazoa, Chordata, Actinopteri, Salmoniformes, Salmonidae.
UAGCCUGUCCACCUUGUUAAGAUGUUGAAAUCAAGUGGUCUACCUUAUUUCUCAGAAAUAGAACGAGUUGCCAAUUCCUUAUAGACCUGGGUUUUAUGUUUAUAGCACGUUUAUAAAACACAGACUAGAGAGCUAGUAUAACAGCCUUUGGCUAAAAUGCUGCUAGCAGUUUUCCAGAAUCAAUGUUCAUUGAUACUCCUGUUUUAGUAGUGUCUGCGCACAAUUUGAGGAGUUGAGACAUAGUGUGUCUGUUUAAAUGGGAAGGUGCUUUACAACAGAAAGGGAGUGAAUGAAACGAGACCAAAAAGACAACAGGAGAACAAGAGGACAUAAAUGCUCAUAAAAACUAGAAGAAAAAAACGUUGAUUCUCGUGAUACAGGCAUUUGGAAUACCGCGCUAAAACAUACAUUUGAAUUAAUCAAAUUAGAUACCUUAUUCCAGGUAGAACAUUUUGGUUCCAGGUAGAGCCCUUUCGGGUUCCAUAAAGAACCCUUCCCACAGGCUUCUACCUGAAACUGAAAAGGGUUAUCUUAUGGAGAACCAUUUUUUCUAAGAGUGUGGUAGUAAACCGUAGGGGAUAGAGGUGAUGGGAUUAUUGAAAUGUGGAAGGCAAAGCAGACCAUCCUUGAUGAUGCUGCCUGACAAUUUUUGCAAACUGAUGAAUCUCUGUUUACAGUAAAUGUCAGCGUUUAGCAUUGCACGGGAGGAAGGAGGGAGAAGUAGAGGGAGAAAGGGCCUGCCAUGGCUGCUUUGUAUUCUGGACCAACCAUUUCAAUGUCAUUUGGUAGGAAUGAAAAGCAGAAAUACACUGUAUUUUACCAUUCAUUGUUGUUGGGUUCUAAUUUGAAAUGUUCCUAUACUAGAAGUUAACAAGUUCAUGUAUGAGGAAUGUACUGUAUAUGGUGGGGUCAUUGGAGGUUGAAUAAGUUGUUUCGGUCUGGAGUAAGGGAAAAGUAGGGGAAAAGGUAAUCAUUUGGUUGCGGCCACUGAUAAGGUUGAAUAGCUGUGGAGUAGUGAGGAAUGUGUGCCAAGGUCAGGUUAGGUUAGAUGAAGUGAGAAGGAACAGUUUCAUUACACACCUUACUUAACCCCAAAAGGCUUCUACCUGAAACUAAAAAGUGUUCUCUUAUGGAGACAGCCGAAGAAGGCUUUUGGAACCCUUUUUUCUAAGAGUGUGGUAGUAAACUGCAGGGGAUAGGGGUGAUGGGAGAAGAACAGGCUGAGGGAGAAGUUGGAUGAUGCAUGCAACGUCUGAGCAGGGGGAACGCAACCUCUGUUCAAGUGUAAAAAGGUGAACCUGCUAGCAGCAUAUUAUAACUGACUUGGGGGCAUACACAAACACACACCUGAGCGGUCUGCCAGGUUAGUGGGUGAAUGUGUGACUCAUUUCCUUUCCUGGAGACGUCAGUCUUCUGCCGGGCUGUAAAAGGAGGUGAGGUGGUUCCGUGUUCACGAGAUCAGAGGACGGUUCACCAGGAACACGGUUGUUGUCAAGACUUGAGGUACUGCUGCCAUCAUACAGUCUGUCUCUCUCUCACAGGAUUACCAUGGAGAGAAAAGGCUUGCUUUGCAUCUUUGUCUUGUUGCUACCACUGGCCUUAGAGUCUGCAGACAUAUGUCCUUAACUCAACAAAAGACCUCAGGAACAUCGAGUUUGGCCACAGAUUCCCUCGUCAGGGCCUAAUGCUGCUACACUUCGUCUCUGGCGGCCUAAACGUCGAUAACAACGAUGCACUCAUACCAACGUUCUUACCAGAAAGGGGAGACUGGGGCUUCCAUCACUUUAAUAACUAUAAAGUUUUCCACAACUGCAAAAUCAGAACAGACAGGGUUACUACGAAGUUGAGAAUAUCAACACACCAACAGCAUACUCACUCGAUCCUUAUGUCACUCUCAGCUAUUACCUUACCCCAGGAAACGUAGAGAGGAACAUGGACAGGUUAGUUGUCAGAACAAGCCCCAACAGUCCACUGUUAGAGGCAAUCUACAUCACACAGCACUAUCGAAGAAGCAGUGAGUAUGACCCCAAGAACCCCUACCAGAUCAGCCCCGCCCCCCUGAGGGAGAUCAGGACCCUCUCGCAAAACAGGGUGAACAGUGUGGACGUGUUUCUGUACGCUGCCGGCUAUGACGUAGACUCCAGAACCUUCCCAUGGAACUGCUCUGCCACUGAUAGUACGUACAAGGUUGAAGACGCAGGCAGAAUGACUCUAAAUGAGUCCCCUGCUAUAAUGAAAGGGGCAGUGGUGAAUGACCACCACACAGAGUGCUAUGCUGUUGUGCUCCAGGUGAAAUCCACAGAAAGUGGGUACGCCCGGCUGGGCUAAUGUCCCUGACAGCCUGCUGGAUGUGAGGGUGAUGCUGGCACUCUUUAAUAAAGAUGGAGAGAAUCUCUUAUCUCUCUCUCUUGACACGCGCAGCUACGGAACCUAUGACCCCAAAAAAUGCCUUAACCACGGCCUACAGGUCAAGCUCCUCUCCAAGGACGGGUCAGAUGUCUUCAUGAGAGGACCUAAAUAUGAUGACGCAGACAGGAAGGUUGCUGUUGGCAUAGAGGGGAUUGACGCCAGUCUCCAGCUCUACACCUGAGAUGGCUACGGAUGCACUCGCCUGUUCAUCAAUAAGACCUUCACCGAUUGGAAGACUGAUUUAAGAUUGAAGUACUCGUGGGUUGGAUUCUACUCCAAUCACAACUAUUCUAGUCAUUGUUACCAUACUUACCAGUAUGUUAUCUAUUUCACUAAACAGGAUGACACAUAUGAUUUAAAUAUGAUAAAGAUGAUAUAUAUUCGUAUGAGCCUAGUUUGUCCAUUCAACCUGGAGCUCAAGCUCGAUUCUUCCUCAAGGAAACAUAUGAUCAAAUUCUGGCAAAAACUAAACCAUGGGAAUGGUAAAAAGGUGUCUGGAGGAUUGCUGGUAUUAGUAUUAGUGUCUCCAGCCGUGAGCGAGGUACUUAACCCCUCAGACUGUUGAGCAAAAACGGUCAUUUAGGGAGAAACCAGCAGAAUCUUACAACACUUGGAAAUAAAUUGGAAAGCAACAGUGUAAAUUUAAAGCACCCAACAGAGAACACCUCAGUCAUGUGAUUACCAAAGAGCCCUGUCUCCACCGCUUACACGACACCACGCCGUCUCCGUGGCGACAGGGGGCAGCCAAUCACCAUGCUGACGACAGUAGAGAGCAGACAGGAUUGGACACAUCUGACCCUUCUGUAACUCAGAGACUGAUUACUACUAAAAUAUGUUUAGUCUCAGGUAAUAAGAUGGAGAUGUAGGGAGCGGAUGAGUGAAUUAAUCAAAAGGCAUAAAUCAGCAUAAUGCCCUGAGGUAGUUAAUCAACUACUCUAAGCUACCUGACCUAUGAUAACUUCAUAACUGCAAUUGAACAAACUACCCUGACCAGACCAGACCAAUCGAACACUGAUGUCUGUAAUGUCUACAUGUCAAAUGUUUGUAUUGUCUACUACCGUCAAUUGUGUUACAGUUUUUCAAUAUAAAUUGUAAAGUAUGUUUUGUUGUGUUCAUGGAUCCCAGGAAGAUUAGCGGUCGUCAUGGCGUCAGCUAAUGGGGAUUCCAAUAAAGAUAAAGAUGAAUAACA